UGAACGCUGGCGGCGUGCUUAACACAUGCAAGUCGAACGAACCUUCGGGUUAGUGGCGGACGGGUGAGUAACGCGUGAGAAUCUGCCCUCAGGAGGGGGAUAACGGUUGGAAACGACCGCUAAUACCCCAUAUGCCUACUGGUGAAAUGAAUUUCGCCUGAGGAUGAGCUCGCGUCUGAUUAGCUAGUUGGUGAGGUAAUGGCUCACCAAGGCUUCGAUCAGUAGCUGGUCUGAGAGGAUGAUCAGCCACACUGGGACUGAGACACGGCCCAGACUCCUACGGGAGGCAGCAGUGGGGAAUUUUCCGCAAUGGGCGAAAGCCUGACGGAGCAACGCCGCGUGAGGGACGAAGGCCUCUGGGCUGUAAACCUCUUUUCUCAAGGAAGAAGAUAUGACGGUACUGAGGAAUAAGCCACGGC
Molecule: ribosomal RNA, 419 nt
Filed under: uncultured Prochlorococcus sp.
Lineage: Bacteria; Bacillati; Cyanobacteriota; Cyanophyceae; Synechococcales; Prochlorococcaceae
Description: bacterial SSU rRNA
Rfam family: Bacterial small subunit ribosomal RNA
Source: RNAcentral